Myiozetetes cayanensis is the source of this 1197-nucleotide long non-coding RNA. RefSeq lists it as uncharacterized. NCBI's taxonomy places the organism in Eukaryota, Metazoa, Chordata, Aves, Passeriformes, Tyrannidae. The transcript has 3 exons. The record is from RefSeq and is a predicted model, not a curated record.
CUGUGACUGUACUUCCGUGAUUUAGAUGAAGAGAAUGGGCUUGUUCUUCCCACACCAGAGCUGCAUAAGAUGGGGAAUAGACGCAGCUGAAAAAUAGCUCAGGAAGAAUUGUAAUGCCUCAUUUCCCGCCACACAGCUGUUGCAGGUCAGCUCACAGCUGAACUGGCAUGGGAGAAGAUGGGGAUGAAGAAAGUUACUGGAGGCAGAAGGUGGAGGAGGCAACUGUGAAGCUGCUGCUGCUGCUGCUGUUGCAACAUCAAGAACUGUGGUUCUCUCAUCACAGGGGCUGAAGGGCUAAAGGCCACACCAAAGCAGUUGGUCCUGCUCCCUCCCCAGCCCUGGCCAUGCCUCUUCCUUCUGCCUUUGUGCCAGCACUAGUCUCAUUGGCUGGCAAAACCUCUCUAGCCUUGGUUAGUUUUCAGUUCAUUUUUCUCAAAAAGAGGUAGCAAGAGCUAUGCAGAGUAAAUCUUGUCAGUGCCUUGUGCAAAAGCAGUUAAAUAGUGUCUCAUCGUUACUGACCACACUUCUCCCUACAGCUCCAAGAGUUCCAUUAUUUUGUUUUGAAAAUGCUUACCAUUCACUGGAGCACCAAAUCUCCCAGUCAUGACAUCAAAAAAAUUCCCAACGUUGGUUUCAACGCUACUGAAGAUGAUCCCACUGUUCUGGUUGCUGAAAUCCAAAUGAGAACAAAACCAAAACAGACAAUCAAAUGCAAGUCUGGAUCCAACAACGGAAAUCAUUAGCCAUCUGUUCAGAAAUUUGAGGAGCUCCAGAUGUGAGCUGAAAGCUUGGGCUGAUUUUCCUUAUCCCUGCACAGAUGCAUUUUCUAUGACGGCAAAUUGUUAACGUCUUGCUUCUCAUCCAGGAUCACAUCAAAGUUCAUCAUGUGUUAAAGGAAAGCAGCUGCAGUGGCAGCUUGAUGGUAUUUAUUGCUUUUUGUCUAGAUUCCAUUUCACAGUCUCUCUAACCCUAAGCUACUUUCCUUGGCCUGAUCAGAAGAGCUGAAAAAUAUGUCCUUUCUCCCUAGGUCUCAUUUAGAAGUAACAGGUCAACAGGGAUACACCAAGUUUUCCAAAAUAAUCCUGUACUUAAAACAGUAUUGUAUUCAAAAGUGGUUUCUCCUAUACCUACCCCAGAUGUAAAAUUCUUAAGCAUGGUGCUAACAAGAAAUGAUAUACUAUCCCAUUUGAAUUUUUA